This 208-nucleotide ribosomal RNA is filed under the name uncultured bacterium. RNAcentral's name for it is "partial 16S ribosomal RNA". It matches the Rfam family "Bacterial small subunit ribosomal RNA", at positions 1285 to 1500 of the family's 1533-position model. The record is from RNAcentral.
GUCUCAGUUCGGAUUGGAGUCUGCAACCCGACUCCAUGAAGCUGGAUUCGCUAGUAAUCGCGCAUCAGCCACGGCGCGGUGAAUACGUUCCCGGGCCUUGUACACACCGCCCGUCAAGCCAUGGAAGCCGGGGGUGCCUGAAGUGCGCUGCCGCGAGGAGCGCCCUAGGGUAAAACCGGUGACUGGGGCUAAGUCGUAACAAGGUAUC